UCCGAAGGGGGCUAUCGUUGUUCGGAAUUACUGGGCGUAAAGCGCGUGUAGGCGGGCCGUUAAGUUGGGGGUGAAAGCCCAGAGCUCAACUCUGGAAUUGCCUUCGAUACUGGCGGCCUGGAGCAUGAUAGAGGCGAGUGGAAUUGCGAGUGUAGAGGUGAAAUUCGUAGAUAUUCGCAGGAACACCAGUGGCGAAGGCGACUCGCUGGAUCAUUGCUGACGCUGAGACGCGAAAGCGUGGGGAGCAAACAGG
Molecule: ribosomal RNA, 253 nt
Filed under: uncultured bacterium
Lineage: Bacteria
Description: partial 16S ribosomal RNA
Rfam family: Bacterial small subunit ribosomal RNA
Source: RNAcentral